This 489-nucleotide ribosomal RNA is filed under the name Enterobacter hormaechei. Its description in RNAcentral is "partial 23S ribosomal RNA". It matches the Rfam family "Bacterial large subunit ribosomal RNA", at positions 416 to 908 of the family's 2925-position model. The record is from RNAcentral. Lineage: Bacteria; Pseudomonadati; Pseudomonadota; Gammaproteobacteria; Enterobacterales; Enterobacteriaceae.
GGCGGGACACGUGGUAUCCUGUCUGAAUAUGGGGGGACCAUCCUCCAAGGCUAAAUACUCCUGACUGACCGAUAGUGAACCAGUACCGUGAGGGAAAGGCGAAAAGAACCCCGGCGAGGGGAGUGAAAAAGAACCUGAAACCGUGUACGUACAAGCAGUGGGAGCCUCUUUAUGGGGUGACUGCGUACCUUUUGUAUAAUGGGUCAGCGACUUAUAUUCUGUAGCAAGGUUAACCGUAUAGGGGAGCCGAAGGGAAACCGAGUCUUAACUGGGCGUUAAGUUGCAGGGUAUAGACCCGAAACCCGGUGAUCUAGCCAUGGGCAGGUUGAAGGUUGGGUAACACUAACUGGAGGACCGAACCGACUAAUGUUGAAAAAUUAGCGGAUGACCUGUGGCUGGGGGUGAAAGGCCAAUCAAACCGGGAGAUAGCUGGUUCUCCCCGAAAGCUAUUUAGGUAGCGCCUCGUGAACUCAUCUUCGGGGGUAGAGC